CUGCAUUCUAAACCCUCCUGGCAGCCCUGCCAUUGGCUUCCAGGAUAAGAAUGAAUGCCAGAGAAAACUGUUGAUUAAUCCAAGAUGUAGAGCUCUUCUGCCAUAGCUCUUCAUUAUUUCACAUCUUCAACAUUU
RNAcentral lists this small nucleolar RNA (135 nucleotides) under Cyanoderma ruficeps (rufous-capped babbler). Its description in RNAcentral is "Small nucleolar RNA SNORA14 (ENSCRFG00000004402.1)". It matches the Rfam family "Small nucleolar RNA SNORA14". Rfam says of the family: ACA14 is a member of the H/ACA class of snoRNA that guide the sites of modification of uridines to pseudouridines. Lineage: Eukaryota; Metazoa; Chordata; Aves; Passeriformes; Timaliidae. The record is from Rfam by way of RNAcentral.